UGAGGAAUAUUGGUCAAUGGCCGCAAGGCUGAACCAGCCAAGUAGCGUGCAGGAUGACGGCCCUCGGGUUGUAAACUGCUUUUAGUCGGGAAUAAAAGGGCGCACGUGUGCGCCGUAUUGCAAGUACCGUCAGAAAAAGGACCGGCUAAUUCCGUGCCAGCAGCCGCGGUAAUACGGAAGGUCCGGGCGUUAUCCGGAUUUAUUGGGUUUAAAGGGAGCGUAGGCGGUCUGGUAAGUCAGCUGUGAAAACGCGGGGCUCAACUCCGCGCCUGCAGUUGAUACUGUCGGACUUGAGUGCACGCAGGGAUGCCGGAAUUCAUGGUGUAGCGGUGAAAUGCUUAGAUAUCAUGAAGAACACCGGUGGCGAAGGCGACUUUCUGGACGACAACUGACGCUGAGGCGCGAAAGCGUGGGGAGCAAAC
This 422-nucleotide ribosomal RNA is filed under the name uncultured Prevotellaceae bacterium. Its description in RNAcentral is "bacterial SSU rRNA". It matches the Rfam family "Bacterial small subunit ribosomal RNA", at positions 355 to 773 of the family's 1533-position model. The record is from RNAcentral. Lineage: Bacteria; Pseudomonadati; Bacteroidota; Bacteroidia; Bacteroidales; Prevotellaceae.